GGGCCCGUGGUCUAGCUGGUUAUGACGUCGCUCUCACACAGCGAAGAUCACCGGUUCGAAUCCGGUCGGGCCCA
This 74-nucleotide transfer RNA is filed under the name Thermoplasmata archaeon. RNAcentral describes it as "tRNA-Val". It matches the Rfam family "tRNA". Rfam says of the family: Transfer RNA (tRNA) molecules are approximately 80 nucleotides in length. Their secondary structure includes four short double-helical elements and three loops (D, anti-codon, and T loops). Further hydrogen bonds mediate the characteristic L-shaped molecular structure. tRNAs have two regions of fundamental functional importance: the anti-codon, which is responsible for specific mRNA codon recognition, and the 3' end, to which the tRNAs corresponding amino acid is attached (by aminoacyl-tRNA synthetases). tRNAs cope with the degeneracy of the genetic code in two manners: having more than one tRNA (with a specific anti-codon) for a particular amino acid; and 'wobble' base-pairing, i.e. permitting non-standard base-pairing at the 3rd anti-codon position. The record is from RNAcentral. RNAcentral also lists the same sequence under 2 other names. Lineage: Archaea; Methanobacteriati; Thermoplasmatota; Thermoplasmata.